This 497-nucleotide ribosomal RNA is filed under the name uncultured bacterium. RNAcentral's name for it is "partial 16S ribosomal RNA". It matches the Rfam family "Bacterial small subunit ribosomal RNA", at positions 28 to 507 of the family's 1533-position model. The record is from RNAcentral.
GAUGAACGCUGGCGGCGUGCCUAAUACAUGCAAGUCGAGCGAACAGACGAGGAGCUUGCUCCUCUGACGUUAGCGGCGGACGGGUGAGUAACACGUGGAUAACCUACCUAUCAGACUGGGAUAACUUCGGGAAACCGGAGCUAAUACCGGAUAAUAUAUUGAGCCGCAUGGUUCAAUAGUGAAAGACGGUUUUGCUGUCACUUAUAGAUGGAUCCGCGCCGCAUUAGCUAGUUGGUAAGGUAACGGCUUACCAAGGCAACGAUGCGUAGCCGACCUGAGAGGGUGAUCGGCCACACUGGAACUGAGACACGGUCCAGACUACUACGGGAGGCAGCAGUAGGGAAUCUUCCGCAAUGGGCGAAAGCUUGACGGAGCAACGCCGCGUGAGUGAUGAAGGUCUUCGGAUCGUAAAACUCUGUUAUUAGGGAAGAACAAAUGUGUAAGUAACUAUGCACGUCUUGACGGUACCUAAUCAGAAAGCCACGGCUAACUACGUG